ACUCAAAGGAAUAGACGGGGACCCGCACAAGCGGUGGAGCAUGUGGUUUAAUUCGAAGCAACGCGAAGAACCUUACCAGGUUUUGACAUACCUAUGCUAGACCAAGAGAUUGGUUGUUCUUUCGGGACAUAGGAUACAGGUGGUGCAUGGUUGUCGUCAGCUCGUGUCGUGAGAUGUUGGGUUAAGUCCCGCAACGAGCGCAACCCUUAUUUCUAGUUGCCAGCAUUAAGUUGGGGACUCUAGAGAGACUGCCAGUGAUAAACUGGAGGAAGGUGGGGAUGAGGUCAAAUCAUCAUGCCCCUUAUAACCUGGGCUACACACGUGCUACAAUGGCUCAUACAAAGGGAAGCGAAGGCGUAAGUUGGAGCAAACCCCAAAAAGUGAGUCUCAGUUCGGAUUGUGCUCUGCAACUCGAGCACAUGAAGGUGGAAUCGCUAGUAAUCGCGAAUCAGAAUGUCGCGGUGAAUACGUUCCCGGGUCUUGUACACACCGCCCGU
RNAcentral lists this ribosomal RNA (497 nucleotides) under uncultured bacterium. RNAcentral's name for it is "bacterial SSU rRNA". It matches the Rfam family "Bacterial small subunit ribosomal RNA", at positions 899 to 1397 of the family's 1533-position model. The record is from RNAcentral.